CUCCUCCCCGGAUCUCCCUCACGGUUCCCGCCCUGCGCGCGCGGCCCCGGAACCGGAAGUCGCGCGAGCCCCGGAAGCGCCGCCGGCUCCUUCCCGGCAGCGCCGCCAUCUUGGCUGGAGCCGUUAGGGAGCCGCGGCCGCCGCUGCCCGCCCCGCCCGCUCCGCCGCCAUCGCGGCCCGGCCGCCGCUCCCCGCCUGCCUCCCUCCCUCGGCCGCGGGCAGGAGGGGCCGCCCGGGGCCUGGCGGCCGCGGAGAGGUGAGCGGGACGGGGAGGGACGGGCGGGCUGCCUUCCUGUCUCCCUCUCUCUCUGUGUUCUCCUUCUCCCUCCGUUUUCCCCUCUCCUUUCCUCUCUUUUUCACCUUUCUCUUCUAUUUCAGUCUCUCCUUUCCUCGGCUGCCUUCCUGUCUCACCUCUCACCCCCUCUCUGCCGUUCUCCUCCCUCUCUCCUUUCCCCAUCUCUCUCUCUUUUCUCCUCUCAUUCCCUCCCUCUCUUUUCUACCUUUCCCCUUUCUUUUUCAGUCCCUCUGUCUCACCCGCUCUCUGCCGUUCUCCUCCUCUCCCUCCUUUCCCCAUGUCCCUCUGUUUCUCCUUUUUCCCUCUCCUGUUUCUCCCUCUCCUUCCCUCCCUCCUUUCCCUCCUUUCCCCUCUCUCUCAGUCCUUCCUUUCCUCUUUCCCUUCUUCCCUCCCUCUCUGAUUCCUCUUUGCCCUCUCUCCCUUUCAUUCCCUCCCUUUCUUUUCCCUCUUUCUCCUUUUCCUUUCAGUCCCUCCCUCUUUACCUCUACCUUUCCCUCCCUUUCCUUUUUUCCUUAUUUUUCUCCUUUUCUCCUCUCCCUUUCACUCCCUCCCUUCCUCUUUUCCUUUUUCCCUCCCUCUCUGAUUCCUCUUUUCCUCCUCUCCCUUUUAUUUCCCGUUUUUCUCCCCUUUGUCCCUCCUUUUUACCCUCUUUUCCCCCUCUUUUCUUCCCUUUUUCUCCCCCCUUUUUCCAUGGUUCUUGCUCCUUAAAAAUUCAAAUAAUAGAAUUUGAAUCCAAAUCAUUGAAUUUACAUCUCAAAUGCAGCCGUAAAGUGGAUUUUGUAAAGACCUGGAGAAAGGUUCUAUGA
This 1101-nucleotide long non-coding RNA is filed under the name Camarhynchus parvulus. RNAcentral's name for it is "lncRNA (ENSCPVG00000009821.2)". Lineage: Eukaryota; Metazoa; Chordata; Aves; Passeriformes; Thraupidae. The record is from RNAcentral.